AGUGAACGCUGGCGGCGUGCUUAACACAUGCAAGUCGAACGAGAAUGGGAUAUAGCUUGCUAUAUUUGUCAGCUAAGUGGCGCACGGGUGAGUAAUGUAUAGAUAACCUGCCCUCUAGUAAGGAAUAACAGUUUGUAACGACUGCUAAUGCCCUAUGUGCCCUUAUUCCAUAAGUAUGCAAGGGAAACGCUUUAGUGCUAGAGGAUGGGUCUGUGUGGUAUCAGCUUGUUGGUGAGGUAAUGGCUCACCAAGGCUAUGACGCCUAACUGGUUUGAGAGGAUGAUCAGUCAGACUGGAACUGAGACACGGUCCAGACUCCUACGGGAGGCAGCAGUGGGGAAUAUUGCACAAUGGACGAAAGUCUGAUGCAGCAACGCCGCGUGGAGGAUGACACAUUUCGGUGCGUAAACUCCUUUUAUAUAGGAAGAUAAUGACGGUACUAUAUGAACAAGCACCGGCUAACUCCGUGCCAGCCGCCGCCGUAA
RNAcentral lists this ribosomal RNA (485 nucleotides) under uncultured bacterium. Its description in RNAcentral is "partial 16S ribosomal RNA". It matches the Rfam family "Bacterial small subunit ribosomal RNA", at positions 29 to 523 of the family's 1533-position model. The record is from RNAcentral.